RNAcentral lists this non-coding RNA (22 nucleotides) under Mus musculus (house mouse). Lineage: Eukaryota; Metazoa; Chordata; Mammalia; Rodentia; Muridae. The record is from RNAcentral.
UAUCCUCUGAAUGAGAUGGCCC